CUGGUUUUGUGGCAUGCCAAACCUCCCUCUUUUAUGGCCAUGUUAAAUAUAACAUUAAAAUGACAACACAACAUUACAGGACUACAAUACAAAUAAAUAGGAGAACACAACUGACAAAGAAACACACGAAUAAUAGCUAACAAAAGGCACCAGGUAUAAAAUUUAAUACGCCAGAAGUGCGUUUUGUCCACACAAGACUUGCUAGUGAC
RNAcentral lists this long non-coding RNA (209 nucleotides) under Mytilus galloprovincialis (Mediterranean mussel). The record is from RNAcentral. Lineage: Eukaryota; Metazoa; Mollusca; Bivalvia; Mytilida; Mytilidae.